Non-coding RNA from Podarcis lilfordi (Lilford's wall lizard), 78 nucleotides. The record is from the annotation of a GenBank genome assembly. Lineage: Eukaryota; Metazoa; Chordata; Lepidosauria; Squamata; Lacertidae.
GUCUCAACCUGUGGCACAAUGGGCCAAUGUAUCUGUUUGUUAACCAGAAGGUUGGUGGUUCAAGCCCACCCAGGGGCA